This 402-nucleotide ribosomal RNA is filed under the name uncultured bacterium. Its description in RNAcentral is "bacterial SSU rRNA". It matches the Rfam family "Bacterial small subunit ribosomal RNA", at positions 355 to 774 of the family's 1533-position model. The record is from RNAcentral.
UGGGGAAUAUUGGACAAUGGGCGCAAGCCUGAUCCAGCCAUGCCGCGUGAGUGAUGACGGCCCUAGGGUUGUAAAGCUCUUUUACCUGGGAAGAUAAUGACGGUACCAUGAGAAUAAGCCCCGGCUAACUUCGUGCCAGCAGCCGCGGUAAUACGAAGGGGGCUAGCGUUGUUCGGAAUCACUGGGCGUAAAGCGCACGUAGGCGGACGCUUAAGUCAGGGGUGAAAUCCCGAGGCUCAACCUCGGAACUGCCUUUGAUACUGGGUGUCUUGAGUCCGGGAGAGGUGAGUGGAACUGCGAGUGUAGAGGUGAAAUUCGUAGAUAUUCGCAAGAACACCAAAGGCGAAAGCACUCUGCUGGGCCGAGACUGACACUGAGGGACGAAAGCUAGGGGAGCGAAAG